Molecule: ribosomal RNA, 451 nt
Filed under: uncultured bacterium
Lineage: Bacteria
Description: bacterial SSU rRNA
Rfam family: Bacterial small subunit ribosomal RNA
Source: RNAcentral
CACUGUCACUCCUACGGGAGCAGCAGUGGGGAAUCUUGGACAAUCGGGGGGCAAACCCUGAUCCAGCCAUGCCGCGUGAGUGAUGAAGGCCUUAGGGUCGUAAAGCUCUUUCGCCUGUGAAGAUAAUGACGGUAGCAGGUAAAGAAACCCCGGCUAACUCCGUGCCAGCAGCCGCGGUAAUACGGAGGGGGUUAGCGUUGUUCGGAAUUACUGGGCGUAAAGCGCGCGUAGGCGGACCAGAAAGUUGGGGGUGAAAUCCCGGGGCUCAACCCCGGAACUGCCUCCAAAACUCCUGGUCUUGAGUUCGAGAGAGGUGAGUGGAAUUCCGAGUGUAGAGGUGAAAAUUCGUAGAUAUUCGGAGGAACACCAGUGGCGAAGGCGGCUCACUGGCUCGAUACUGACGCUGAGGUGCGAAAGUGUGGGGAGCAAACAGGAUUAGAUACCCUGGUAG